UAAAAGCGUUAAUUUUUAGUAUACCCUGCUCAAUGAAACUUAAAUAGCCGCAAAAUUUGUGCUAAGGUAGCAUAAUCAUUUGCCUAAUAAUUAUAGGAUAGUAUGAAAGGGAUGACAUGUAAUUAACUUUAUUAAGAAAAAUUUUCAAAUUUAAAAAGUAAGCAACAAUUCUUACAUAACUAGGGGGACGAUAAGACCCUGUCAAACUUCACCAUGAGGUUUAGCUGGGGCGGCAGAAAAUUAAAACUUUACCCUAACACUGAUAAUAAAACCUGUAUAACAGAUAUAACAAGUUACUGCAGGGAUAACAGCACAAUCAUCCUUUAAAGAUCUUAUAAAAAUGAUGGCUUGUGACCUCGAUGUUGAAUUAAAGAUCUCUUUGAGGCAACCCUCAAAAAAGAAAGUCUGUUCGACUUUUAAACCAUU
RNAcentral lists this ribosomal RNA (426 nucleotides) under Proshermacha sp. MYG346. Its description in RNAcentral is "partial 16S ribosomal RNA". It matches the Rfam family "Archaeal large subunit ribosomal RNA", at positions 1926 to 2666 of the family's 2987-position model. The record is from RNAcentral. Lineage: Eukaryota; Metazoa; Arthropoda; Arachnida; Araneae; Anamidae.